AAAUUUUUAGAUUAAUUGGUCACAACUAAUUUUUCAAUCACAAUUUAAUAAAUCAUGAGUCGCAAACACAAUUUUUAGGUCAUGUAUUAUUUAUUUAUCACAAUUUAAUCAAUUAUUGAUCACAUUAAACCAAUUAGUUGGUCACAAACACUCCACAACACUUGUGACCACCACCCUGCCACUUCUUGCAAUAGCACAAAUGCUACAGCCACGGUUGUCGUCACUGCCAUAACUAACACCACGUCCACCUCUCAACGGCAACAUCAUCACCUCAAAUCAACACAUCGUCAUGCCAUAUCCACCACCACCCCGAUAGAUCUAUCGCCACCAACAUCACCAUACCCAUCGUCACCAUCUCACCACCCAUAAUUUCCACCACCACCGCCACCAACAGAACCACAACCACCACCAUAUCCAACGUAACCUCCGCCAUAGUUGGAUCCAACAAAGCCGUCGCCACCUAAACAUAACCACCACCACCAUUACAGCUCUCUCCACCAAUUGAAAGCAUACCCAAAAACCCACUAGAUUGCGGAGUUGCAAAUUCCGGGCAUAGCACCAUCACCAUUUCCAUCUCCACACCACAACAAAACACCAAAAAAAUCCCCGAACUCGUUGUCAUCGUCGCCGCCCCACCACCCCACCACCAAAAAAUCCCCAAAAUCGACAUGUAGGAUGGAGCUGCCGAAGUAGAUCAAGCCAUAAGUCAUGGCUGCAGUGUGGGCGACAGGCGCACUACUGUUGCGGAGAGUUGAUAACACCGGAGGGAUGACGCCAUCAGAGAAGUUGAAUGAAAAAAGAUGGACUCCAGUGGUUCUGCACACGAUCAUCGCAGUUAACGAUCGUGUACAGUUGUGCUACUGCCGUUACAAGGCGUCGUUGGCCCGAGCUGUUGGAGAAUAAAGACGAUGCGACGCCAGAUAGAUCGGGUAGAGGGCUGUGAAGAGAGGAGAAGGGAGAUGGAAAGAGAAGAAAUUGAUUAGGGUUUUGAAAUGAAAUUUGUACAAUUAAUAUUUAAUAUUUAAAUACAAAAUAUCUGAUUUUUGAAAGGUUAAACUACCUAUCUGAUUUUAGAAUACAGGAUUUUAAAGGUAGGUUAUUCCGUUAUUGUGUAAUUCUCACUUAAAUUAAAGUCUAC
RNAcentral lists this long non-coding RNA (1138 nucleotides) under Olea europaea (common olive). Its description in RNAcentral is "long non-coding RNA (OEUR_LNC008352)". Lineage: Eukaryota; Viridiplantae; Streptophyta; Magnoliopsida; Lamiales; Oleaceae. The record is from RNAcentral.